Molecule: long non-coding RNA, 422 nt
Organism: Sardina pilchardus (European sardine)
Lineage: Eukaryota; Metazoa; Chordata; Actinopteri; Clupeiformes; Clupeidae
Exons: 3
Source: RefSeq, a predicted model, not a curated record
UGACAAACCACGCAUCUUGAAGUUGCAUACUUAAAACAACAAAUCUGCACACCUACCUCGCAUGGGAUUCUGAAUCCAGAGAAUGCCCCCUAUCAGUGGUGAAGAUGACAGGAACCAAGUUGAACACCAUUUCUAUCCUGGGUGCAGAGGUCAAGGUGCGAUGGAUUACUACUCGUUCUCUCCGCCCGUGGGCAGAGGCACUGGCACCGCCUAUGCCAUCUCUGGAGACGGACGUAGUUAGAUUACAAGUUACUUUAACCACAGUCCGAGUGUGGGAGCAGACCAAUAACCAGAUCACUGGGUAAAGACUUCAAAGGUGAAUUUGUCUUGACAUGAACCAAUCUGAAUAUUGCCAUAAAGUGACCAAAGCUGCAGCUCCAAACAAUUUAGCUACCUUGUCUAGGGUUUAAUGUUUAUAGCUA